RNAcentral lists this transfer RNA (65 nucleotides) under Thaparocleidus varicus. Its description in RNAcentral is "tRNA-Cys". Lineage: Eukaryota; Metazoa; Platyhelminthes; Monogenea; Dactylogyridea; Ancylodiscoididae. The record is from RNAcentral.
GUGUAUAUAGCUUUAAGCUAAAUUAUUUUGCAACAGUAAUGAUAGAAUUAACUUUCUUAUACAUU